This 1279-nucleotide ribosomal RNA is filed under the name uncultured Sebacina. RNAcentral's name for it is "eukaryotic LSU rRNA". The stretch from base 603 to 1279 matches the Rfam family "Eukaryotic large subunit ribosomal RNA", at positions 1 to 656 of the family's 3401-position model. Lineage: Eukaryota; Fungi; Basidiomycota; Agaricomycetes; Sebacinales; Sebacinaceae. The record is from RNAcentral.
AGAGGAAGUAAAAGUCGUAACAAGGUUUCCGUAGGUGAACCUGCGGAAGGAUCAUUAAUGAAACUUCAAAGUCGGCCAAAGGUUGUUGCUGGUGAUUAUUCACAUGUGCACGCCUUUGGUCGCAAAUCCACACACACCUGUGCAUCUAUGACUCGAGGUUGUAAUGACUGAGAGUAACUUUUAUACACUCUUGUAUGUAAUGGAAUGUCUUUUUGUGCUAUAAUGUACAAUAUAAACAACUUUCAACAACGGAUCUCUUGGCUCUCGCAUCGAUGAAGAACGCAGCGAAAUGCGAUAAGUAAUGUGAAUUGCAGAAUUCAGUGAAUCAUCGAAUCUUUGAACGCACCUUGCACCCUUUGGUAUUCCGAAGGGUACGCCCGUUUGAGUGUCAUUGUAAUCUCACUUCUACAACUUUAUUGUUGUUUGAAUGUGGACUUGGAUGUUGCCGUUUUAUCACGGCUCGUCUUAAAUGCCUGAGUGUACCCUGUUUUGCAGCGUAUCCAGUGUAAUAAACAUUUCACUAGAGUUGGUYGAAAGACCRCGUUGACUAUAUGGGCUCUAUGCUUCAAACCGUCUGCCAUGUGGACAAUUUCUUGACAAUUUGACCUCAAAUCGGGUGGGACUACCCGCUGAACUUAAGCAUAUCAAUAAGCGGAGGAAAAGAAACUAACAAGGAUUCCCCUAGUAACGGCGAGUGAAGAGGGAAAAGCUCAAAUUUUAAAUCUGGUGUCUUUGACUCCCGAGUUGUAAUCUAGAGAAGUGUUUUCCGUGUCGGACCGUGUACAAGUUCCCUGGAACGGGGCGUCAUAGAGGGUGAGAAUCCCGUAUAUGCCACGGACUACCGAUGCUCUGUGAUACACUCUCAACGAGUCGAGUUGUUUGGGAAUGCAGCUCAAAAUGGGUGGUAAAUUCCAUCUAAAGCUAAAUAUUGGCGAGAGACCGAUAGCGAACAAGUACCGUGAGGGAAAGAUGAAAAGCACUUUGGAAAGAGAGUGAAACAGUACGUGAAAUUGUUGAAAGGGAAGCGUUUGAAGUCAGUCGCAUCUGUUGGGGUUCAGCCUGGCUUUUGCCUGGUGUAUUUCCUUUCCGAUGGGUCAGCAUCAGUUUCGACCGAGGGAAAAAGACAUUUGGAAUGUGGCUGUCUUCGGGCAGUGUUAUAGCCUUGUGUUGUAUGUCUCGGUUGGGACUGAGGAUUGCAGCGCGCCAUAAAUGGCCGGGGGUCGCUCCUCUCGACACGCGCUUAGGAUGCUGGCAUAAUGGCUUUAAGCGACCCGUCUUG